RNAcentral lists this ribosomal RNA (1346 nucleotides) under uncultured bacterium. RNAcentral describes it as "partial 16S ribosomal RNA". It matches the Rfam family "Bacterial small subunit ribosomal RNA", at positions 28 to 1381 of the family's 1533-position model. The record is from RNAcentral.
GACGAACGCUGGCGGCGUGCUUAACACAUGCAAGUCGAACGGAAAGGCCCUGCUUUUGUGGGGUGCUCGAGUGGCGAACGGGUGAGUAACACGUGAGUAACCUGCCCUUGACUUUGGGAUAACUUCAGGAAACUGGGGCUAAUACCGGAUAGGAGCUCCUGCUGCAUGGUGGGGGUUGGAAAGUUUCGGCGGUUGGGGAUGGACUCGCGGCUUAUCAGCUUGUUGGUGGGGUAGUGGCUUACCAAGGCUUUGACGGGUAGCCGGCCUGAGAGGGUGACCGGCCACAUUGGGACUGAGAUACGGCCCAGACUCCUACGGGAGGCAGCAGUGGGGAAUAUUGCACAAUGGGCGGAAGCCUGAUGCAGCAACGCCGCGUGCGGGAUGACGGCCUUCGGGUUGUAAACCGCUUUCGCCUGUGACGAAGCGUGAGUGACGGUAAUGGGUAAAGAAGCACCGGCUAACUACGUGCCAGCAGCCGCGGUGAUACGUAGGGUGCGAGCGUUGUCCGGAUUUAUUGGGCGUAAAGGGCUCGUAGGUGGUUGAUCGCGUCGGAAGUGUAAUCUUGGGGCUUAACCCUGAGCGUGCUUUCGAUACGGGUUGACUUGAGGAAGGUAGGGGAGAAUGGAAUUCCUGGUAGAGCGGUGGAAUGCGCAGAUAUCAGGAGGAACACCAGUGGCGAAGGCGGUUCUCUGGGCCUUUCCUGACGCUGAGGAGCGAAAGCGUGGGGAGCGAACAGGCUUAGAUACCCUGGUAGUCCACGCUGUAAACGGUGGGUACUAGGUGUGGGGUCCAUUCCACGGGUUCCGUGCCGUAGCUAACGCUUUAAGUACCCCGCCUGGGGAGUACGGCCGCAAGGCUAAAACUCAAAGGAAUUGACGGGGCCCCGCACAAGCGGCGGAGCAUGCGGAUUAAUUCGAUGCAACGCGUAGAACCUUACCUGGGUUUGACAUGGAUCGGGAGUGCUCAGAGAUGGGUGUGCCUCUUUUGGGGUCGGUUCACAGGUGGUGCAUGGCUGUCGUCAGCUCGGGUCGUGAGAUGUUGGGUUAAGUCCCGCAACGAGCGCAACCCUUGUUCACUGUUGCCAGCACGUUAUGGUGGGGACUCAGUGGAGACCGCCGGGGUCAACUCGGAGGAAGGUGGGGAUGACGUCAAGUCAUCAUGCCCCUUAUGUCCAGGGCUUCACGCAUGCUACAAUGGCUGGUACAGAGAGUGGCGAGCCUGUGAGGGUGAGCGAAUCUCGGAAAGCCGGUCUCAGUUCGGAUUGGGGUCUGCAACUCGACCUCAUGAAGUCGGAGUCGCUAGUAAUCGCAGAUCAGCAACGCUGCGGUGAAUACGUUCCCGGGGCU